AACGAACGCUGGCGGCAUGCCUAACACAUGCAAGUCGAACGAGACCUUCGGGUCUAGUGGCGCACGGGUGCGUAACGCGUGGGAACCUGCCCUUAGGUUCGGAAUAACUCCCCGAAAGGGGUGCUAAUACCGGAUAAUGUCUUCGGACCAAAGAUUUAUCGCCUUUGGAUGGGCCCGCGUUGGAUUAGCUAGUUGGUAGGGUAAAAGCCUACCAAGGCGACGAUCCAUAGCUGGUCUGAGAGGAUGAUCAGCCACACUGGGACUGAGGCACGGCCCAGACUCCUACGGGAGGCAGCAGUGGGGAAUAUUGGACAAGGGGCGAAAGCCUGAUCCAGCAAUGCCGCGUGAGUGAUGAAGGCCUUAGGGUUGUAAAGCUCUUUUACCCGGGAUGAUAAUGACAGUACCGGGAGAAUAAGCUCCGGCUAACUCCGUG
Molecule: ribosomal RNA, 433 nt
Filed under: uncultured bacterium
Lineage: Bacteria
Description: partial 16S ribosomal RNA
Rfam family: Bacterial small subunit ribosomal RNA
Source: RNAcentral